Molecule: non-coding RNA, 103 nt
Organism: Nemania sp. FL0031
Lineage: Eukaryota; Fungi; Ascomycota; Sordariomycetes; Xylariales; Xylariaceae
Source: the annotation of a GenBank genome assembly
CUCCUGAUAGCUCAGUUGGUAGAGCGAUGGACUGUAACUGUAAAUGUAAUUGCAAUCAUCUUGCGAGAUCCACAGGUCGCGUGUUCGACUCACGCUCGGGAGA